Molecule: long non-coding RNA, 204 nt
Filed under: Lathyrus oleraceus (garden pea)
Lineage: Eukaryota; Viridiplantae; Streptophyta; Magnoliopsida; Fabales; Fabaceae
Description: Pisum sativum (pea) long non-coding RNA (PSAT_LNC029185)
Source: RNAcentral
UUUUUUCUCUUUUUCUAUUUUCUGUUUUAUUUUCUUUUAUUCCAUUUAUUUUUAAAAAUUUAUAACUAUUUUAUUUGGAAUCACAAAAAUAUGAGACCAAUUGCAAAAAAAUUCUUUUAAAAGCUAGUUUCAUAAUCUGAUUUUUAAUUAUUUUUGUGAUUCCAUUUAAUAUUUUUUGUGAAUUAUUUUAUUUUUGAUAGUCUU